GUUUCAAUUGCCUAAACAUACUAGGCAAUUCUGUGUGUGCAUUUUGAAUCUCACUGCUCGUUUUGUUUUGUUUCCCUGACAUACAAGGCUCACGGUUUGUGCAAUUUUCUACCAAACAGGAACUAGUUCAUGCAUUUACUAUUGUACUACACACACGUUUUUACAACCCACGAACAGAACUUUGGUUUGAUACAAUGACUGUUUGUUAUUAAGCUAUUAUGUUCACAUAUUGUAUAUUGUCAAACGGGCACUGUUUGUUUCCCUGUCAUACAACUAUAAUGCUGGGGCAUAGCUCACGAACAAUGUUUCACAUAAACUACACUGACCCUUACAGGUCACUCUCAAAAUCUCACGUUAACCUUGCUGUUGGCUUAAAGG
Molecule: non-coding RNA, 378 nt
Organism: Pelobates cultripes (western spadefoot toad)
Lineage: Eukaryota; Metazoa; Chordata; Amphibia; Anura; Pelobatidae
Source: the annotation of a GenBank genome assembly